Molecule: small RNA, 333 nt
Filed under: Citrobacter sedlakii
Lineage: Bacteria; Pseudomonadati; Pseudomonadota; Gammaproteobacteria; Enterobacterales; Enterobacteriaceae
Description: isrL Hfq binding RNA
Source: RNAcentral
UUGGCGACGUCCACCUGCUGGAUUUGGGCAUACAGUUUGCCGAUCACUUCGGCGAUCGACGGAUGCCAGGAGACGGCGCGAUUGACCGCCUGAGAAAGGGUAAGUUCGCCGGGCGCGGCGCUGUCGCCGGUGAGCGGCAUUGGUCCAUUCAGCGAGGGCAGUUCCUGCUGCUCAACCCAUUGCUGUGGGGCGAUGCGGGGCGGUUCCUCGACGGCAAUCGCCGGGAACGCGCACAGAUGUCCCGCCAGCCACCAACCUGUUAGCUGUCGUUUUCCCAUUUUUUUACUUCCCUAAGCUGCUUUUUGCCCCGGGCGGGCGUGCGCCCGGGGUCGU